UUUUAAUUUUAAAACACUACUUUACAUAUAUUUUUCUUUCAGACUCCUCCAAGGCCAAUACAAACACAGAAGACCCAAUACAACAAGAGGAAGAGGAGGAAGAUGAUGACUGAUGACAUACUGAGUAAAACACCUAAACCAGUUGAUACAUUCAAUGGUGUUAAUGUCAAGGAUGAUGAGGUCAAUGAAGGUGCUGAUGAAGGGUUGAGCUAUGAUGAGGAUGAUGAGUUGAUGAGGACGAUGAGUUGAUGAGGAUGAUGUGUUAAUGUCAAGGAUGAUGAGGUCAAUGAAGGUGCUGAUGAAGGGUUGAGCUAUGAUGAGGAUGAUGUGUUGAUGAGGAUGAUGAGUUGAUGAGGACGAUGUGUUGAUGAGGAUGAUGAGGACGAUGUGUUGAUGAGUUGAUGAGGAUGAUGUGUUGAUGAGGAUGAUGUGUUGAUGAGAAUGAUGAGGAUGAUGUGUUGAUGAGGAUGAUGUGUUGAUGAGGAUGAUGAGGAUGAUGUGUUGAUGAGGUUGAUGUGUUGAUGUGGAUGAUGUGUUGAUGAGGGUGAUGUGUUGAUGAGGAUGAUGUGUUGAUGAGGACGAUGUGUUGAUGAGGACGACGUGUUGAUGAGGACGAUGUGUUGAUGGGGAUGAUGUGUUGAUGAGGUUGAUGUGUUGAUGAGGACGAUGUGUUGAUGAGGAUGAUGUGUUGAUGAGGAUGAUGUGUUGAUGGAUGAUGCGGCUAAACAGUUUGACACAAUCAGUUCUGAGGUAGAGCCUCUACUGAUUGAAGAUAGGUUUCUCACAGCCUUUUACAGGACUCUAAAAGUCAGAGAGGUCCAAUUACUAGAUAGGUUUCUCACAGCCUUUUACAGGACUCUAAAAGACAGAGAGGUCCAGUUACUAGAUAGGUUUCUCACAGCCUUUUACAGGACUCUAAAAGACAGAGAGGUCCAGCUACACAAACAUAUGGUUGCUUAACUAAGACGGCAGUACAGCCAAGACCUAUCCUUCUGGCAUAAAACCAUGCCACGAUUGAUAAGCAUCAAUUUGAUUAAAAAACCCAAACAAACGAUAAAAGCCUUAUGUAACAUGGAAACUUCUUAAAUAACG
Molecule: long non-coding RNA, 1092 nt
Filed under: Salmo salar (Atlantic salmon)
Lineage: Eukaryota; Metazoa; Chordata; Actinopteri; Salmoniformes; Salmonidae
Description: lncRNA (ENSSSAG00000121460.1)
Source: RNAcentral